Molecule: ribosomal RNA, 176 nt
Filed under: Mesorhizobium ciceri
Lineage: Bacteria; Pseudomonadati; Pseudomonadota; Alphaproteobacteria; Hyphomicrobiales; Phyllobacteriaceae
Description: partial 23S ribosomal RNA
Rfam family: Bacterial large subunit ribosomal RNA
Source: RNAcentral
CAAGGGGAGUGAAAGAGUACCUGAAACCGAUUGCNUACAAACAGUGGAAGCCCAAGGUUCGUCCUGGGUGACCACGUACCUUUUGUAUAAUGGGUCAGCGACUUAGUGUGACGAGCAAGCUUAAACCGNUAGGUGUAGGCGCAGCGAAAGCGAGUCUGAACAGGGCGUUCAGUUCG